RNAcentral lists this ribosomal RNA (465 nucleotides) under Vreelandella stevensii. RNAcentral's name for it is "partial 16S ribosomal RNA". It matches the Rfam family "Bacterial small subunit ribosomal RNA", at positions 338 to 795 of the family's 1533-position model. Lineage: Bacteria; Pseudomonadati; Pseudomonadota; Gammaproteobacteria; Oceanospirillales; Halomonadaceae. The record is from RNAcentral.
CCUACGGGUGGCUGCAGUGGGGAAUAUUGGACAAUGGGCGAAAGCCUGAUCCAGCCAUGCCGCGUGUGUGAAGAAGGCCUUCGGGUUGUAAAGCACUUUCAGUGGGGAAGAAAGCCUUGGGGCUAAUACCCUCGAGGAAGGACAUCACCCACAGAAGAAGCACCGGCUAACUCCGUGCCAGCAGCCGCGGUAAUACGGAGGGUGCGAGCGUUAAUCGGAAUUACUGGGCGUAAAGCGCGCGUAGGCGGUCUGAUAAGCCGGUUGUGAAAGCCCCGGGCUCAACCUGGGAACAGCAUCCGGAACUGUCAGGCUAGAGUGCAGGAGAGGAAGGUAGAAUUCCCGGUGUAGCGGUGAAAUGCGUAGAGAUCGGGAGGAAUACCAGUGGCGAAGGCGGCCUUCUGGACUGACACUGACGCUGAGGUGCGAAAGCGUGGGUAGCAAACAGGAUUAGAUACCCGAUUAGUC